Molecule: ribosomal RNA, 253 nt
Filed under: uncultured bacterium
Lineage: Bacteria
Description: partial 16S ribosomal RNA
Rfam family: Bacterial small subunit ribosomal RNA
Source: RNAcentral
UACAGAGGGUGCGAGCGUUGUCCGGAAUUAUUGGGCGUAAAGAGCUCGUAGGCGGUUUGUCGCGUCUGCUGUGAAAGCCCGGGGCUUAACCCCGGGUGUGCAGUGGGUACGGGCAGACUUGAGUGCAGUAGGGGAGACUGGAAUUCCUGGUGUAGCGGUGAAAUGCGCAGAUAUCAGGAGGAACACCGAUGGCGAAGGCAGGUCUCUGGGCUGUUACUGACGCUGAGGAGCGAAAGCAUGGGGAGCGAACAGG